UCAUUGGAGGUUUUUGAAGAUCAAAGGAGAUUAGAGAGAGGAGCUUCAUGCUUCGGGUCGGGGAAGAAAAGACAUAGAAUUUGGAUUUUUUUCUUCGGAGAGUUUUUGGGAAGACUGAGGCAAUCGCUGCUGAAGUCAGUAUUGUAAUGGUGAAUCGGGAUUUUUAAUGAAGUGGGUUUGAAUACUCUUGACUGUUUUGUGAAAUCGAGUUACGUCUAUGAUUGAAGGAUUAAAAGGAUGUCUAUAGGAUUGAGUAUGCGGAGUGAAUGAAAUUUAUUGGGUU
Molecule: long non-coding RNA, 283 nt
Filed under: Physcomitrium patens
Lineage: Eukaryota; Viridiplantae; Streptophyta; Bryopsida; Funariales; Funariaceae
Description: long non-coding RNA (PPAT_LNC001877)
Source: RNAcentral